UGAGGAAUAUUGGUCAAUGGGUGCAAGCCUGAACCAGCCAUCCCGCGUGAAGGACGACUGCCCUAUGGGUUGUAAACUUCUUUUGUAUAGGGAUAAACCUACCCUCGUGAGGGUAGCUGAAGGUACUAUACGAAUAAGCACCGGCUAACUCCGUGCCAGCAGCCGCGGUAAUACGGAGGGUGCAAGCGUUAUCCGGAUUUAUUGGGUUUAAAGGGUGCGUAGGCGGCGAUAUAAGUCAGUGGUGAAAUAUUUCGGCUUAACCGAGAGACUGCCAUUGAUACUGUGUUGCUAGAAUAUGGUUGCNGUGAGUGGAAUGUGUGGUGUAGCGGUGAAAUGCUUAGAUAUCACACAGAAUAUCGAUUGCGAAGGCAGCUCACAAAGCCAUUAUUGACGCUGAGGCACGAAAGUGUGGGGAUCAAAC
RNAcentral lists this ribosomal RNA (421 nucleotides) under uncultured bacterium. Its description in RNAcentral is "bacterial SSU rRNA". It matches the Rfam family "Bacterial small subunit ribosomal RNA", at positions 355 to 773 of the family's 1533-position model. The record is from RNAcentral.